UUUCCGCCCGACAUCGGAUCCUCCGGGAACCCCACCGAGCGGGCGAUUCUUAUACACGUUAUACAUACGCCGCGGUCUAUUAUCUUACCGUUAGCCGGAAGAAACCAAUUAUAUUAUUGCCGGAGAAAAAUAUUCUCUUUGGCGUUUCCGAGCCGUUUCCGCCGCUGUUUUACGUAGCAUUCGACGGUUCUGCGCGUGUCGUGCGCAAUCCGUAGUACUUAUAGGUCGCAGUGAUCAAUUAUUAUUAGGUAUAAUGUUAUAUAAUAUUUCCUUUGUAGCAGUAACACAUAAGCUUAUGUCGUGUAUUUUACUUUUUAGUUUAUAAUAUAGUCAAGACGACUUUGUUUAACGAGUUCGUUGCGCGAGUUUUAAUCGUAUGGAUUAAAAUAAUUAAAUUAUUUAAAUUGUUCAUACAAUAAGCCAACUGUGAGAGUCGCAAAAGGAUUUAUUUUCGGUCCACUACCUGAAGCAAUAUGGCACUUCAUCGGUAUGCGUACACUCAAAAUGCUGUAAUAGAAAGAAUGUUGGUCCUACCAAAAUCGAUUAGACGGUCUCUCUCAAUCCACUGUUGAAUUUAUUAUCGAAGAAGACUUACCGCCAUAUAUAUAAAAUAUAAUCGUUGCAGCAACUACCUGCCAGGCUAAAAUCAUCCACCGGCAGCAAGAAGUUUUAAGUCGCAUUAAAACACUAAUGGGUUAAUCAAAGGGACAGCAGAUGCUCGACGGUAGUUUUUUUCAUCUUCGGAGCCAGAACCCCACGUGCUGUCUGGCCAAACGCACUGUGUCUAAUCGCAAAUGCAGGGUUGAACACAAAAAAAAAAUGUUAGUAAUAAACCGCCAUAACAACUCGCUUCCUUCGUUAAAACGGUCCUAAACCGAAAUUAAGUGCUCUAAAAACCAUUUAUUAGCAAAAUGUGUUUCCCGUUACCAAUCACGUUUUGUCGAGAAUUCACCAUUACCUAUAUUUUUCUAUAGAGCACUCAAAACAUUUGAAUUCUAAUAAAAUUUCUAUUACUAUAAAAUCUAUUUUUGUACUCAUGUGAGUGCAAUUUUAGUUUGUUUUUAUUUAAAAUUUUACAAUAAAUUACAUAUAAUGAAGUUUUUUAACAGACUUAUCACUAAUACUAAAUACACAUAAUAUAGCUUUAAAUUCACAAAUAACCAACUAUGCGCUAAAACAAAAAAAAUUUUUAUAUUAUUAUUAGCCUUUCUCUUUAUAUUAAAUAUAUAUUAUAUAUUAUAUAAUAUAUAUGUGUAUAUGUGUGUUAUUAAGUGCAUAGGGUUUGAUUUUUUUGACAUUGUCAAAAUAAGAGUACUGAUGAAGUGAUGAGUUCAACCAAUAUUAUUAUUAGUUUUAAUUUUUAUCAAUCGACAUAAUAUAGUUAACUACAAAUCUAAUUAAUUAUACAUUAAAUAAUUAUUUUAUAAAAACAGUUAUUUCGAAUGUGUACAUUUUUUUUUCAUUUUUUUUUUAACCCUUAACAAUUUUGAAAAACACUUAAAAUUAUGCAUUCUUUUAGGUCUUUGACUGUGAUUACUGCAUGUGCACCGAGUAUUAAUUCAAGGAACGUACACCAUUAUUGUCCCAUACUACAUCCGGUAAUAAUAAACAAAAAUACUAUACCUACUUGAUUAAAAUAAAAGAAGUUUUAUACAAAUCAUGAUCUCACAAUUAACGUCAGACUUAAAUCAUAUAAGUGGAUUUAUCGUUUAGAAUUUGGGAACGUAGUGUAUGAUAAUAUGUAUACAAGUAUCGUUAAAAAUUAAAAUAGAACAGUUGUUUAUCUGCGUAUAUACCAGUAACAAAAAGGAAAUGACGGUAUGAGGGGUGAAUUGAAAUUGAAACGUUUUCCAUAAAUUACAAACAAUAAAAACAGCUAAUAAGUUAUUUGAAACGACAGAUCUAUGGGUGAUGUAGUGUUGGGGAAAAGUGGUUGUAUCCUUCCUCCUCAAACUACAAAACAUUAUUGGUCCUUUUGUCUUAAGUAAUUAAUAUUAUUUUUUUAUUUUAUAGAAUAUGAGAUACAAAUGUUAAGUAGUAUAUGAGUUUAAUUAUAAUCAAUGAUGUCACUGCAGUUAUACACUUAUACUUGAAUUAUAAUUGUGA
This is a long non-coding RNA of Aphis gossypii (cotton aphid), 2106 nucleotides long. RefSeq lists it as uncharacterized. Lineage: Eukaryota; Metazoa; Arthropoda; Insecta; Hemiptera; Aphididae. The transcript has 3 exons. The record is from RefSeq and is a predicted model, not a curated record.